Marmota monax (woodchuck) is the source of this 5359-nucleotide RNA transcript. It is a transcript of the gene named SR-related CTD associated factor 8, with no coding region annotated. The record is from RefSeq and is a predicted model, not a curated record. Lineage: Eukaryota; Metazoa; Chordata; Mammalia; Rodentia; Sciuridae. The transcript is spliced from 23 exons.
CCUGCCAGUGCCUGUCCUUCCGCGCCCGCCCGGAUCGCAGCGGCCGCUCUCCCGCCGGCGCCCGCGCUUCGGUCUCCCCUCCCAGUGCAGUGGCCGCCGCCUCUUCCGCCGCCGGGCUCGGGGCCUCCGCACAGACAACAUGGAGGCCGUGAAAACCUUCAACAGCGAGGAUUGUGCCUCUACUCCUGCUUGUACAGACUGCUUUUCCAGCAGCAUGGACACAAGAAGCAUAUUGUAUUCCUUGAAUGACUACAAACCACCCAUUUCUAAAGCAAAAAUGACCCAGAUUACAAAGGCGGCCAUCAAAGCUAUUAAGUUCUAUAAACAUGUGGUACAGAGUGUUGAGAAAUUCAUUCAGAAAUGUAAACCAGAAUACAAGGUACCUGGACUUUAUGUUAUUGACUCCAUUGUGAGACAAUCCCGACAUCAGUUUGGUCAAGAAAAGGAUGUGUUCGCACCCCGAUUUAGUAAUAACAUCAUUAGCACUUUUCAGAAUUUAUAUCGUUGUCCUGGGGAUGACAAGAGUAAAAUAGUGAGAGUUUUAAACUUAUGGCAGAAGAAUAAUGUAUUUAAGAGUGAGAUUAUUCAACCGCUUUUGGAUAUGGCAGCAGGGAUUCCUCCUCCAGUUGUCACACCUGUUUUGGCCAGUACUACUGCUGCUAUGAGCAACACCCCAGGAACACCUGUGACACCUGUUACUCCAGCUAAUGUGGUCCAAGGCCUUCCUGAUCCAUGGGUAUCUCAGAUAACAAAUACAGAUACACUUGCUGCGGUUGCUCAGAUCUUACAAAGUCCUCAAGGCCAACAGCUUCAACAGUUAAUACAAACCUUACAGAUACAGCAGCAGAAACCGCAGCCUUCCAUCCUCCAGGCCCUGGAUGCUGGUCUUGUGGUUCAAUUGCAGGCUCUCACAGCACAGCUUACAGCUGCAGCUGCAGCAGCCAACACGCUCACUCCCUUGGAUCAGGGAGUCCCUUUCAACAAGAAGUUGAUGGAUAGGUUUGAUUUUGGGGACGAUUCUGAGCAUAGUGAAGAACCCAAAAAGGAAAUUCCAACACCUCAACUUUCUCAUGUUUCAGAAUCUGUGAACAAUUCCAUUUUUCAUCAGAUAGCAGAACAACUACAACAACAAAACCUUGAACAUCUCAGACAGCAGCUCCUGGAACAGCAACAGCCUCAAAAGGCAACUCCUCAAGAUAGUCAAGAAGGGACAUUUGGAUCAGAGCAUUCAGCGUCACCAUCACAAGGGAGUAGUCAGCAACAUUUUCUUGAACCUGAAACAAAUUUGGAUGAUUCUAUAGAUAUACAGCAACAGGAUAUGGAUAUAGAUGAAGGACAAGAUGGAGUGGAAGAGGAAAUCUUUGAACAAGAAGCUAAGAAAGUGGCUGUUCGUUCCAGAUCAAGAACUCAUUCGAGAUCUCGUUCAAGAUCACCAAGGAAACGGAGGUCCAGGUCAAGAUCUGGUUCUCGCAAGCGUAAACAUCGAAAGCGAUCAAGGUCCCGCUCAAGAGAGAGGAAGAGGAAGUCAUCACGUUCAUACUCCAGUGAAAGGAGAGCCAGAGAAAGGGAGAAGGAACGACAAAAAAAGGGAUUACCUCCAAUUAGAUCUAAAACAUUAAGUGUAUGUAGCACUACUCUCUGGGUUGGUCAGGUAGACAAGAAAGCGACACAGCAAGAUUUAACCAAUCUUUUUGAAGAGUUUGGACAAAUUGAAUCCAUUAAUAUGAUUCCUCCCAGGGGUUGUGCUUAUGUCUGUAUGGUACAUCGACAAGAUGCAUUUCGGGCUCUUCAGAAACUGAGUUCCGGAUCAUAUAAAAUCGGUUCCAAGGUUAUUAAGAUUGCUUGGGCUUUAAAUAAAGGUGUAAAAACAGAAUACAAACAAUUCUGGGAUGUGGAUCUUGGAGUUACAUAUAUACCAUGGGAAAAAGUUAAAGUGGAUGAUUUGGAUGGUUUUGCAGAAGGAGGCAUGAUUGAUCAGGAAACUGUAAAUACUGAAUGGGAAACAGUGAAGAGCUCAGAACCCAUUAAAGAGACGGUCCAGACAACUCAGAGUCCAACUCCAGUUGAAAAGGAGACAGUGGUCACAACCCAGGCAGAGGUUUUCCCUCCACCUGUUGCCAUGUUGCAGAUUCCAGUAGCACCAGCGGUGCCUACAGUUAGUUUAGUUCCACCAGCAUUUCCUGUGUCCAUGCCAGUUCCGCCUCCUGGAUUCAGCCCAAUACCUCCACCACCUUUUCUGCGAGCAAGUUUUAACCCUUCACAACCACCUCCUGGUUUCAUGCCCCCUCCAGUUCCCCCGCCUGUUGUACCACCCCCUGCAAUUCCACCAGUAGUACCAACAUCCUUAGUGCAACCGCCACUGUCCAUGACCCCUGAAGCUGUGAAGGAUGUUGGAUUUGGUAGUCUUGUUUUACCAGGUGGUCCAGUUGCCAGCAGUCUUGCUACUUCUGCUCUACCAGCUGGAAAUGUUUUUAAUCCUCCACCUAAACAAGCAGAGCCUGAAGAAAAAGUACCUCAUCUUUUAGAACACCAGAUUUCUUCUGGUGAAAACAGCAGAUCAGUGAUUCCGAAUGAUAUUUCAAGUAAUGCUGCAAUUUUAGGAGCGCAGCCGCCUAAUGUGACAAGCAAUUCUGGAAUUUUGGGAGUCCAAAGACCAAAUGUAUCAAGUAACUCUGAAAUUCUUGGAGUCCGACCAUCUAAUGUUUCCAGUAGUUCUGGGAUUAUUGGAGCUCAACCACCAAAUAUUCUAAAUAACUCUGGAAUUUUGGGAAUACAGCCACCGAAUGUGUCAAAUAGUUCUGGACUUUUGGGAGUGCUACCCCCAAAUAUGCCGAAUAAUUCUGGACUUGUAGGAGUACAGCCACCAAAUGUCACAAACACUUCUGGACUUUUGGGAACACAGCCACCUGCUGGACCUCAAAAUUUACCCCCUUUAAAUAUCCCAAGUCAAAGGAUGCCUGCAAUGCCAAUAUUAGACAUUCGUCCAGGACUAAUACCACAGGCCCCUGGACCAAGAUUCCCUUUAAUACAACCUGGAAUUCCACCCCAACGUGGAAUCCCUCCCCCAUCGGUACUUGAUUCAGCUCUUCAUCCACCACCCCGUGGACCUUUUCCUCCAGGAGAUAUUUUUAGUCAGCCAGAAAGACCUUUUCUAGCUCCUGGAAGACAAAGUGUAGAAAAUGUUAUUAACCCAGAAAAAAGGAUACCGCUUGGGAGUGAUAACAUUCAACAGGAAGGAGAUAGAGAUUACCGGUUUCCUCCCAUAGAAACCAGGGAGAGCAUUAGUAGACCUCCCCCAGUGGAUGUUAGGGAUGUGGUUGGGCGGCCUAUAGAUCCAAGAGAAGGUCCUGGAAGGCCUCCAUUAGACGGUAGGGAUCAUUUUGGAAGACCUCCUGUAGAUAUCAGAGAGAAUCUUGUGAGGCCAGGUAUAGAUCAUCUUGGUCGAAGAGACCACUUUGGCUUUACUCCAGAGAAGCCCUGGGGGCAUAGAGGAGAUUUUGAUGAGAGAGAGCACCGGGUUCUCCCUGUCUAUGGUGGUCCAAAAGGAUUACAUGAUGAAAGAGGUAGAUUUCGGGCUGGAAGCUACCGAUUUGAUCCUAGAAGUGGUCCUUGGAACAGAGGAUUUGGACAAGAAGUUCACAGAGAUUUUGAUGACCGCAGAAGACCCUGGGAAAGGCAGAGGGAUAGGGAUGACAGAGAUUUUGAUUUCUGCAGAGAAAUGAAUGGAAAUCGUCUUGGACGAGAUAGAAUUCAAAACACUUGGGUCCCCCCUCCUCACGCUCGGGUUUUUGAUUAUUUUGAAGGGGCCACUUCUCAACGAAAAGGUGAUAAUGUGCCUCAGGUUAAUGGUGAAAAUACAGAGAGACAUGCUCAACCACCGCCUUUACCAGUACAGAAUGAUCCUGAACUUUAUGAAAAACUGACGUCUUCAAGUGACAUAAACAAGGAGAAGAGUGACACAGUUGCUGAUAUAGAAAGUGAACCAGUGGUGGUAGAAAGCACAGAAACUGAGGGGACAUAAUCAUCACUCAGUAGGGCAGAGUGACGGGGAAGAUCAGCUCCUGAGCGGCUGGGGGAAUGUGAAGGCUUUCGUCUCCAGCUGUCUGGUUGAAGCUUCAGAAGGGUAACCUCCCCUGCCACCUUUGGACCUGCCUGACCCCCACCACAGUGUGCGAGUGUCAACUGCAUUGUGUGCGUCGAUCACAGCAAGUGUCAGGAGGCGCCCGGUAAGCCAGCUGAACCUGGCUCAAGUGAGAAUUGACACCAACCGAGGACACAGAUACAACUGACAGUGCAAGAUGUGACUGUGCAGUAAGAAAUGACUCAGGCCAGGGUCUCACCAGGAAGGGAAUUGCUGAAUUACUCUGUGCAGUUACAGUAUUUUCUCAUAUGAACGUCUCUCAUCAGGGUCAAUCUGUCUGGAUGGUUGAAGGGCUCCCGGAGAUUCCUCCUUGAUUAACUCACCUUCGUUGCUUGUAUGUGGCUGAGAUGCCAUCUUGCAUCCUCAUUCCUUGGGUUCCCAAAGUCCUUUGUCAGUUUUUCAACUACAGCACAGACAUCGCCUGAGAAGGUUCACGGUUUACACUCUUAGCAGCAGCCAGCAGUUGUUUACUGUGUGGUUCCAGCCUGGGACCUACAGGGUACACUGAGCAUGUCACAGGGAAGGCCAGGGAUGUGGCCUAGGACCAGGUCAUCAUAAUCAUCUCUUUUAGCCAGCUUUUUUUCUGCUGUGACCAAAAGACCUGACAAGAACAAUUUUAGAAGAGGAAAAGUUUAUCCGGGGCUCAUGGUUCCAAAGGUUUCUGUCCACAGAAGGCCGGCUCCAUUCCUCAAGGCCUGAGGCAAGGCAGUGUGGCAGAGGAAAGCAUCAUGGCACCAGGAAGCAGACAGAGAGAGAGAGUCUAAGCUCAUCUCACAAAAUAUAUUCACCCAAAGGCACAUCCCCAGUGAUCCACCUCCUCCAGCCACACCCUACUUGCAUAUAGUCACAGCUGCCUGAUGGGGACUAACUCAGGGAUUAAGUUAAGGUUCUUAUAACCCCAUCAUUUCACCUCUGAAGUUUCUUGCGUUGUCCCAUACAAGAGCCAAGAUUCAAGGAACAUCCGGGUAGGAACAGUGAUAAUGGACUUGGAAAGCUUGAACUAUGUUUUCAAAAUAGAAAGAAGUUCAUGGGCCGAAUGAAGAGUUCUGUCUUCUAUGUGUGAUUUGUGGUCAGGCCCAUCCACUCCGUGCUCAGCUGAUCACUAGCUCUGUGACGGUGAGCAGGUGGCUCCUCUCUGUGAGCUUCAGGGUCCUUCUCAUCUGUGAAAGGGGAUGACAAUACUACCUACCUCAGUAGGAGGUUGCAAGAUGCAAUGAG